Trichosporon asahii var. asahii CBS 2479 is the source of this 109-nucleotide non-coding RNA. The record is from the annotation of a RefSeq genome assembly. Lineage: Eukaryota; Fungi; Basidiomycota; Tremellomycetes; Trichosporonales; Trichosporonaceae.
UCUUCGCUAGUAUAUCGGUUAGUAUAAUCGCCUCUCAAGUGGGAGACUCCUCGGUCUUAAUCGACUGUAGUGAUCGCGAUAGAGCAGGGUUCGACUCCCUGGCGGAGAA